GGGCCGGGCUCCGCCGCGGGCAGCCCGCAGCGCCCGGGGCUCCGGGACAGCGCACCUGCCUCCCGCCCGCUCUCACGGGCCGGAGAAAGACUGGGAGAACUGAAGGAGAAUUGAGGAGAUGGGAAUACACAAAGCGAAAGCGUCACAUCGGUGUUUUCCUAAGCCCCUGCCCCGAGACUUUCUCCCUCUCUUCGCUGGGCGCUCCCCAGAGGAUCGGGCACUAACACCCACGUACGUGUGCAGGAGCCAACCCAGGGAGGCUGCUCGUCUGUAAGCUAACCCCACAGAAGUGAAGAGGAAAAAAAAAAAAGAACAACGAAACAAAAAAACUUUUCAGCCAGAUCUGCUCCAAGGAGCAAUUCACAGAAGGAUCAGACAAGAGCCAGUGCCAGCACAGCGCCGAAGGUGGAAACACAGAGCCAGAGCCAAUAGAGGAGAGGACAAGGCAGCCCAAACUUAGAUCAACUCCAGCUGUGAUGGACCCAGAGCGGGAGCCAGCCUGACCACUGAGAAGCUUCCUAAAACCUCUGCACUUUCUCUAAACACACUGAGAUAGAAUGAGUAAGCAUAUGGAGUUUAAAUUACCACAAUACCAGAGAAAUAAAAUCAGGAUUCUUACAUAAACACUGAAUGGGUCAAGAAGAAAGAAAAAGCCCUCAUGGUCAUAAAGAUAUCAAGCAGAGUUUCUGUAGGGUGUAACAGGCCAGGAAAAAUCCUUCCUGAGCUACACAGAUUACACUUGUGAGUAAAUGUCUCCUUUCUAAGCCUUCAUUGUGUAGAUGAGAAGAUAAGGUAGAGGCUGUUUGAGAAAGAUUGAAAAAGACUGAAACCAGAGUAGGAGUGAGCAUUUGGAAAAUUAAUAGUGUGGAAGACAGCACGUUUUUUUUCUGUGCAAAUAUCUAAAUCCUGCCAUCCCACACCCUUAAAAUAUGAAUAUUUUCUUACUUGAGGAUAUGUAAGUUUUUAGAACAAACAGAUUUAUCUGGAUAAUAUUUGUAAGGGCAACUACAUACACAUGCUGAAGUGUUGGAAAACUAAAUUUAAAAGAAAGGAGAAAAAAUACUUAGGAGAUAUGAAGUCCAGAACAAAAAUAUUUCUAAUAUUACAGUUCAGACUGUAAAUAAAACAGGCAAAGUCUAAUAUGUUGACUACAGCAACAGCAGCAAGAAAAGAAGUCUCUGUAAAAGAUCAACUUGGAAAUUGCAGACAAAAGCUGCAGGGAAGCUACAAAGGAUUGGUGUGUAAAUUCCUAAAAGAGAAUAGGCUAUAUUUGGAGGUACAUGAAUAAACAGAUAUUAGUUAGUAGGUUUAGCUUUCCCAUUGAGGAUUAUACUAGUUGGAAGGAAGAUAAAAUCUGAGACUGACUUUGGGGAAAACACCUAAAAAAUUUAGAAAAGUUUAUAUUGACCAUAUACUUAGAAUUCUAGCAGACAUCAAGGUGACCCAUGGACUGUUCCCAGAUACACAUUGGUUUAGCAGGUAGGUCUUUGAAUGUAACUGGGAUAAAUCAGUAUUUACAGAUACUUUUAUGUUCCCACUUCCUGUCUUCUGCUCAUAAUUUAGGAAAUUAGUAUAAAUUAUUUGCAAACACAAAAAGAGAUAUCCAAAAGUAAAGUGGUGUAGUCAAGGUAUGUUAAAGGUUGACACAAACACUUUCUGGAGGACAGCAGUGGAGAGCAGCAUGGAAAGAGUGUAAAGGAUACUUCAAGGGAAAAGUGCUGAUAAUCAGAGGAAUUCAAAGAAGAGAAAAGCAGGCAAAAGUAAUUCACAUGCAAUCAACACAUUUUCAGAUUUGGAGAAGUAUUGGAUGAUGGAUUUUUAGAAACAGAAGUUACUCAGAAAUAAAAGUUUCAUGUGUGCUGCCCUCUGGUCCUAUGUACAGUUAUUGAGGAGAGGGAAGGUAAGGAACUUGAUUUUUACAAUUUUGUUUCUGCCCUGCCCUGGCUGAGAUAAUAAAAGCAAAGUUUGGCUAAUUCAAUUCGGAUGUGUAUUGAUUUGUUGUUGCUGUUGCUAGCAGCAUUGCUCUGCUGUACUCUCAGUGCCCUUGAGCAAGCAGGAAGAAACCUGGGAAGGGAGAAAUGCAUGGCAUGGGGAAGAAUAGGAUGGCAUCCCUGAGGCUGGGAAAAUGUAACAUGGGCUUUUAUGGAACAGCUACAAAAACACCUGUAAAUGCCAUGUCUUUCUGCUCAGCUUUGUUUAUACACAUUUAGUAGCAGUCCUCAAGACUGGAUUUUUGUUAGUCAAGCAGAUGAAGUCAGUUGAACUCAAACUGCCUGAAAGAGCACAGCUCAAGGAUUCAACCACCCUUAGUGGAUGGACUUAAUCAGAUUCAGUAGGUUCAACAUAUGUCCUUAGGGAAUUUGUCAGAAAUAUUUUUUAAUUGUUAUCAAAACAAACAAAACCCCCCAAAAAACAAACCAAAAAAAAUGAAGCAGAAAUUUCUUCUUAACAGCAGACAUGAAUAAGAAUAUAAGGACAACAGAAUGUCUUUUCCAUGUACACUAGUUUUACCCAGAAACUACAGCUCUUGUCUAAGCCAGUCUCCACAGAGUGGAGUGCCCAGAUUUUGACCAAUGUUCUCUUUAAUCAGUAUGUGUAGAUAUACAACUGUGUACCUUUAGGGCAGCCUGGAACUGCUGUCGUCAGAGCAGAUGAUCCAGGCAAGGUUUGGCAAUUAUCCCAUGCUGUGUGCCACAGGGUUGUUCAAUCCAGCAUGCUUCCUCACAGUCCUGCCAUCACAACAAAUUACCAUAUAAACAUAGGAAACUUUACAAUAACACAAUUAUGAACUAACCACCUUAAUUUACUAGAGCACAAAUAGUAUUCCAAAACUGUAACACAUUUCUUACCUGAAAAGUGGGCAGAAAUCACUGGUCUCCUUUUGUAAUGAGGUCAUGAUAUCAAACCUUUUUACUUUUUACUGAAUGCUGGUCACUGGGAAAAUUCAUGGGUAAUCAGUGAUCUUUUAAAAUAUGCUGGAUUGUCACUCAUCUCCUGUAAUACCUUAAGAAAUGUGUCCUUGCCUGAUUAGAUGUUUUGGUACCAUAAAAAGGAAGUAAUAAAACCCCUCCCAAACACAGUGAAUUUCAGAUCUGCAAAUGUAUAUCAGUACAGCAAAUAUAAGUUACCUUUUUUUAUUAACUGCCUUAUUUUAGUAUUAUAAAAGAUUUGAAGUAGUUAACCAACACACCAAGGCCCUAGAAACUAUGGCUUUUUUCUUUCUUUUUUUUUUUUUAAAUAAAAUGAAGCCAUCCCAACUCACCCAAAAUUUUAGCUCUCCUGUGGAAAGACAGAUAAAAGGUUAAAUCCUUAGAGAACAAAGAGAAAUUUUAAAAAAAUUCCUCCAUCCUAAAUUGUCACCAGGAUUACAAAUCAGCUGAUUACAAUACAAGAAUAUGAACUGGGCUGGUUAUAGGACAGUGUGCAAAUUUAAAACUGCUCUACACUGAAGGGUUUUUUUUUAUUCACACUGUUCUGGACUAGAACCUAUUUUCCUGCACAACUAUUAAAAGUACCUGUAAGAGUACAUACACUUUGCAUGUUUGUCAGGAAUUACAGAUAUGAAUAUUUGAAAUUAAGAAUUCUUAAUUAAAUUUUAAAUAGCUACAUACUAUGUUUUGGUGUCUUUCUUACAAUUUUCAAAUUAUUUUAAAUAUACAGUACUUACCUAUUUACACAUUGAAAAGUUGUACUUUAAAAUGGAAACAGUUAUGGUUCCAAUCUGCUACUCAUAACAUACAAAAAUAACAGAUAUACAUAAUUCCAGUAGGCACUGUGAUUUAUUAUUUUAGCCUUUACCAAGAAAAACAUUUUCAAGCAAGUUUCUUUUGACCAGAAGUUUAUGAACUAAAGUUGGAAAGGUGGUUCUAUAAGCCA
RNAcentral lists this long non-coding RNA (3876 nucleotides) under Ficedula albicollis (Collared flycatcher). RNAcentral describes it as "lncRNA (ENSFALG00000028476.1)". Lineage: Eukaryota; Metazoa; Chordata; Aves; Passeriformes; Muscicapidae. The record is from RNAcentral.